GAAACCGAGUCUUAAUUGGGCGUUAAGUUGCAGGGUAUAGACCCGAAACCCGGUGAUCUAGCCAUGGGCAGGUUGAAGGUUGGGUAACACUAACUGGAGGACCGAACCGACUAAUGUUGAAAAAUUAGCGGAUGACCUGUGGCUGGGGGUGAAAGGCCAAUCAAACCGGGAGAUAGCUGGUUCUCCCCGAAAGCUAUUUAGGUAGCGCCUCGUGAAUUCAUCUCCGGGGGUAGAGCACUGUUUCGGCUAGGGGGCCAUCCCGGCUUACCAACCCGAUGCAAACUGCGAAUACCGGAGAAUGUUAUCACGGGAGACACACGGCGGGUGCUAACGUCCGUCGUGAAGAGGGAAACAACCCAGACCGCCAGCUAAGGUCCCAAAGUCAUGGUUAAGUGGGAAACGAUGUGGGAAGGCCCAGACAGCCAGGAUGUUGGCUUAGAAGCAGCCAUCAUUUAAAGAAAGCGUAAUAGCUCACUGGUCGAGUCGGCCUGCGCGGAAGAUGUAACGGGGCUAAACCAUGCACCGAAGCUGCGGCAGCGACGCUUAUGCGUUGUUGGGUAGGGGAGCGUUCUGUAAGCCUGUGAAGGUGUGUCGUGAGGC
RNAcentral lists this ribosomal RNA (600 nucleotides) under Salmonella enterica subsp. enterica serovar Tennessee. RNAcentral's name for it is "partial 23S ribosomal RNA". It matches the Rfam family "Bacterial large subunit ribosomal RNA", at positions 673 to 1269 of the family's 2925-position model. The record is from RNAcentral. Lineage: Bacteria; Pseudomonadati; Pseudomonadota; Gammaproteobacteria; Enterobacterales; Enterobacteriaceae.